GGAAAAACAACAUCCAGCUUCUUAAUUUGUAAUUAUUAUUAAUAUCUGUUAAUAUCAUAUGCUUGGCCUGGCUAGAGGCCGGUUCGGUCAGGAAUUGCACUGAAAUUAGUUCGAAUCAAACCGACUUUGAACUGGAUUAUAAGGUAGCCAAUUAGGGACUCAUCUCCUGAGGCCUUGAAUCUACAUCAAUCUGAAAUCAGGAAUUCAAACUGUUGAUAUUGAACCGAACUGAAAUUAGUUAGGAACCAAAAUUGACUGAAACUAUAAUAAAUUGUUCCGAUUCCUAUUUCAAGCCUUCAACCACCAAUUUCAAUCCAAAAUCAGCGCAAACCAAAC
Molecule: unclassified non-coding RNA, 336 nt
Filed under: Hevea brasiliensis (rubber tree)
Lineage: Eukaryota; Viridiplantae; Streptophyta; Magnoliopsida; Malpighiales; Euphorbiaceae
Source: RNAcentral